GAUGAACGCUGGCGGCGUGCCUAAUACAUGCAAGUCGAGCGAACGGACGAGAAGCUUGCUUCUCUGAUGUUAGCGGCGGACGGGUGAGUAACACGUGGAUAACCUACCUAUAAGACUGGGAUAACUUCGGGAAACCGGAGCUAAUACCGGAUGAUAUUUUGAACCGCAUGGUUCAAAAGUGAAAGACGGUCUUGCUGUCACUUAUAGAUGGAUCCGCGCUGCAUUAGCUAGUUGGUAAGGUAACGGCUUACCAAGGCAACGAUGCAUAGCCGACCUGAGAGGGUGAUCGGCCACACUGGAACUGAGACACGGUCCAGACUCCUACGGGAGGCAGCAGUAGGGAAUCUUCCGCAAUGGGCGAAAGCCUGACGGAGCAACGCCGCGUGAGUGAUGAAGGUCUUCGGAUCGUAAAACUCUGUUAUUGGGGAGGAACAUAUGUGUAAGUAACUGUGCACAUCUUGACGGUACCUAAUCAGAAAGCCACGGCUAACUACGUG
Molecule: ribosomal RNA, 497 nt
Filed under: uncultured bacterium
Lineage: Bacteria
Description: partial 16S ribosomal RNA
Rfam family: Bacterial small subunit ribosomal RNA
Source: RNAcentral